GUGGGGAAUUUUGGACAAUGGGCGAAAGCCUGAUCCAGCAAUGCCGCGUGUGUGAAGAAGGCCUUCGGGUUGUAAAGCACUUUUGGCAGGGAAGAAACAGUGCGUGCUAAUACCAUGCGCGAAUGACGGUACCUGCAGAAUAAGCACCGGCUAACUACGUGCCAGCAGCCGCGGUAAUACGUAGGGUGCAAGCGUUAAUCGGAAUUACUGGGCGUAAAGCGUGCGCAGGCGGCUUUGUAAGACGGAUGUGAAAGCCCCGGGCUCAACCUGGGAAGUGCAUUCGUGACUGCAAGGCUAGAGUGUGGCAGAGGGAGGUGGAAUUCCGCGUGUAGCAGUGAAAUGCGUAGAGAUGCGGAGGAACACCGAUGGCGAAGGCAGCCUCCUGGGAUAACACUGACGCUCAGGCACGAAAGCGUGGGGAGCAAACAGGAUUAGAAACCCCUGUAGUCC
This 450-nucleotide ribosomal RNA is filed under the name uncultured bacterium. RNAcentral describes it as "partial 16S ribosomal RNA". It matches the Rfam family "Bacterial small subunit ribosomal RNA", at positions 354 to 796 of the family's 1533-position model. The record is from RNAcentral.